GUAUGUGUGUGCGACAGGCACUGAGCGUGCUCGAAGAUACGUUUUUUUUUUUUUUUUGUCAACCAGGUGGCUUGGAGAAGGCGGAAUAUAUCUAGAUUUAGAUGUAUAGUGAUAGUGACUGACAGAAAGUGUGCAUCGCUCAACAUGGAAAUGUUUUGUAAAGGUGGUUACAUCUCUUGGGAGACACUGGUCUAUAUAACAGCAGAGCUAAAAUACUUGAUGUUCAAUCGAGAAUCAUAGCAGCUGACGGUGGGAUGUCCAAUUGAUGAUAUUACUUAUGAACUUGCUGAAUCUGUCCUGGAUUGACAAACUGGAUAUUGAAAGAGUGUUAACACCUGACAUCAAAGAUCACAUAAACUCUUUAACCAUAAUGUUGAUGCAAGAAACUGAAAGAUUCAAUAAACUGCUUAUAAUAAUCAAGACAUCAUUAGAACAACUGAAAAAAGCCAUCAAAGGUUUCGUAGUGAUGAGUGAGGAAUUGGAGAAUGUAUACAAUGCUUUUUUAAAUAACCAUGUCCCAGAAUUAUGGGCCAGAAACGCUUAUCCUUCGUUAAAGUCUUUAGCAUCUUGGGUUAAAGACCUGAUAAUGAGAUGUUGUUUUAUUGACAAUUGGAUCAAUAAUGGACCUCCUAAGUCUUUUUGGUUGUCUGGCUUCUUCUUUCCACAAGUUUGCCUGUAAUGCACAUGGAUCCUCGCCUAGACUAUGAACCAGAUUUAUCUCUCUAUCCAGCACCACUCUACAAAACAGCUGCAAGAGCUGGCACACUUUCCACUACAGGACAUUCUACUAACUUUAUUGUAACUGUCCACCUUCCUUCAAGCAACACACAAGAUUACUGGAUAGCCAAAGGUGCAGCACUCUUAUGUCAAAUUUCUGAUUAAUUUUGCUUACAGAUAAGUUGUAAAGCAUUUAACAAUAAAAACAAUGUCCAUUACAAA
This is an RNA transcript of Biomphalaria glabrata, 939 nucleotides long. It is a transcript of the gene named dynein axonemal heavy chain 6-like, with no coding region annotated. The record is from RefSeq and is a predicted model, not a curated record. The transcript is spliced from 8 exons. Lineage: Eukaryota; Metazoa; Mollusca; Gastropoda; Planorbidae.